This 426-nucleotide ribosomal RNA is filed under the name uncultured bacterium. RNAcentral's name for it is "partial 16S ribosomal RNA". It matches the Rfam family "Bacterial small subunit ribosomal RNA", at positions 354 to 796 of the family's 1533-position model. The record is from RNAcentral.
GUGAGGAAUUUUCCACAAUGGGCGAAAGCCUGACGGAGCAAUGCCGCGUGAAGGAUGAAGGCCUAUGGGUUGUAAACUUCUUUUCUCAGAAAAGAAUUAUGACGGUAUCUGAGGAAUAAGCAUCGGCUAACUCUGUGCCAGCAGCCGCGGUAAGACAGAGGAUGCAAGCGUUAUCCGGAAUGAUUGGGCGUAAAGCGUCUGUAGGUUGUUUAAAAAGUAUUCUGUCAAAGAUUAGGGCUUAACCCUAGAUAGGCAGAAUAAACUUUUAAGCUAGAGUUUGGUAGAGGCAGAGGGAAUUCCCGGUGGAGCGGUGAAAUGCGUAGAUAUCGGGAGGAACACCAAAGGCGAAGGCACUCUGCUGGGCCAAUACUAACACUGAGAGACGAAAGCGAGGGGAGCAAAUGGGAUUAGAAACCCGUGUAGUCC